GCCGGGCAUGGUGGUGCAAGCCUGUAAUCCCAGUGGCUUGGGAGGUUGAGGCAGGAGGAUCAAAGCCAACCUCAGCAAAAUCGAGGCACUAAGCAACUCAUUGAAGACUCUGUCUCUA
RNAcentral lists this small RNA (118 nucleotides) under Marmota monax (woodchuck). Lineage: Eukaryota; Metazoa; Chordata; Mammalia; Rodentia; Sciuridae. The record is from RNAcentral.